Molecule: ribosomal RNA, 499 nt
Filed under: uncultured bacterium
Lineage: Bacteria
Description: partial 16S ribosomal RNA
Rfam family: Bacterial small subunit ribosomal RNA
Source: RNAcentral
GACGAACGCUGGCGGCGUGCCUAAUACAUGCAAGUCGAGCGAAGUUUUUCUGGUGCUUGCACCGGAAAAACUUAGCGGCGAACGGGUGAGUAACACGUAAAGAACCUGCCUCAUAGACUGGGACAACUAUUGGAAACGAUAGCUAAUACCGGAUAAUAGCAUUAACUGCAUGGUUGAUGUUUAAAAGUUGGUUUUGCUAACACUAUGAGAUGGCUUUGCGGUGCAUUAGCUAGUUGGUGGGGUAAAGGCCUACCAAGGCGACGAUGCAUAGCCGACCUGAGAGGGUGAUCGGCCACACUGGGACUGAGACACGGCCCUGACUCCUACGGGAGGCAGCAGUAGGGAAUCUUCCGCAAUGGGCGAAAGCCUGACGGAGCAACGCCGCGUGAGUGAAGAAGGAUUUCGGUUCGUAAAGCUCUGUUGUUAGGGAAGAAUGAUUGUGUAGUAACUAUACACAGUAGAGACGGUACCUAACCAGAAAGCCACGGCUAACUACGUG